Malus domestica (apple) is the source of this 668-nucleotide long non-coding RNA. RefSeq lists it as uncharacterized. The record is from RefSeq and is a predicted model, not a curated record. NCBI's taxonomy places the organism in Eukaryota, Viridiplantae, Streptophyta, Magnoliopsida, Rosales, Rosaceae.
AAAGUUUGUACGACAAAGGCUUCGUCGCACAAAGGUCAUUCAGUUUUGGGUUAAAGCAUUCAAUGCAUGUGAAUUAGAGGAAUCAGGAUCAUAUUUUGUGCGGAUGUUUGCGCGACAAAGGUUUCGUCGCGCAAAGUCCUUAACCUUCCUAUAAAUAUGCGCUUCUGCUCUCAUGGUUCUUCACAAUUUGUUCCAGAAACGCUUUACAAUUUUUCAGAUUAUCAUCAAUUUGUUCUUUGAUUGUUGGUAUAAUGGGCGAUGGUGGUGCGCGUUCAUCAAAGACAAUGGAUGGCGAAGGUUCCAAAAAAGACAAGAAGAAAAGAGCUGCGGUACGGGUUCGACACACUUACGGGUUGUGAAGUCAGAUAUGCGCACUAGUUUUUGGUUCGACGUUGGAGUAUUGUUGUGUGACAAAUAUGUUGCAGAUUUGGAGUCUAGGAAAGCCAUCCUUGAGGAGCCUAAUUGGGACAUUCGUAAAAAUAACCCAAAUUUGAUGAAGACAAUCGAUAACAUGUUCAAGCCUCGUAUCUAGGAGUGGAAGUUUGAUAAUCAACGUGAGGCUGAACUACAGCGAGAACCAGAACUAUCGGUGGAGGAGUAGAAUAGUGUUUUUUAUUUUAAUUUUAGUGCUUAUUUAAUAAUGAGAUAUGAAUUAGAACUUUUUUAUU